CCGUCGAUAGCUCAGCUGAUAGAGCGGAGGACUGUAGAGUUGCAGCAAUCCCUAGGUCGCUGGUUCGAAUUCGGCUCGACGGA
Angiostrongylus costaricensis is the source of this 83-nucleotide non-coding RNA. The record is from Rfam. Lineage: Eukaryota; Metazoa; Nematoda; Chromadorea; Rhabditida; Metastrongylidae.